This 465-nucleotide ribosomal RNA is filed under the name Vreelandella stevensii. Its description in RNAcentral is "partial 16S ribosomal RNA". It matches the Rfam family "Bacterial small subunit ribosomal RNA", at positions 338 to 795 of the family's 1533-position model. Lineage: Bacteria; Pseudomonadati; Pseudomonadota; Gammaproteobacteria; Oceanospirillales; Halomonadaceae. The record is from RNAcentral.
CCUACGGGGGGCUGCAGUGGGGAAUAUUGGACAAUGGGCGAAAGCCUGAUCCAGCCAUGCCGCGUGUGUGAAGAAGGCCUUCGGGUUGUAAAGCACUUUCAGUGGGGAAGAAAGCCUUGGGGCUAAUACCCUCGAGGAAGGACAUCACCCACAGAAGAAGCACCGGCUAACUCCGUGCCAGCAGCCGCGGUAAUACGGAGGGUGCGAGCGUUAAUCGGAAUUACUGGGCGUAAAGCGCGCGUAGGCGGUCUGAUAAGCCGGUUGUGAAAGCCCCGGGCUCAACCUGGGAACGGCAUCCGGAACUGUCAGGCUAGAGGGCAGGAGAGGAAGGUAGAAUUCCCGGUGUAGCGGUGAAAUGCGUAGAGAUCGGGAGGAAUAACAGUGGCGAAGGCGGCCUUCUGGACUGACACUGACGCUGAGGUGCGAAAGCGUGGGUAGCAAACAGGAUUAGAUACCCUAGUAGUC